AAAAUGGCGGAGGUUGGGAGUCCCUGCUUUGACUCUGUUUGCAAACUCUUGUUUCAUUGUUUAAGCGAUUAAAUCUCUCGAGUAGACACUGUCUCUUUAGAUGCGAGGGCAAAAUAGCACUUUAUGGACUUCCACAGAGGACAUCAUGUUUAAUACGGUUCCGGAAAAAUCCAGUCAGAAGUUGUUCACGGAGUUUUCACAAUAACUGCUUCUCAUGAACCGAAGCUGGAUUUGCGCGACGUCUCCUCUUGAAAGUUGGAUUACUGUGCACUUCUGGAUCACAGACUAUUCGCAGCUGUACACAUCCUUCUACACUGUAUGCAAACAUGCAACAUCAUAAAACACAGUACAAGGAGUCAGACUGGCAUAUGAGGAGCAAAGGAACCCAGGCAGUAGCAUCGUUUCACAAUGUUUCCAUCACCAUCAUCAGUGGAUGCCUUUGCCGUCCGUAGCCUGAGAUUUCAGAUUUGCAGCAAAAAAAAUUGAUUUUCUCAUUUAUUGGAAUGCUGUGCAGGUAUUUGUACCUUGCAGCCAUCCAAUACAAUGUCACCAAGCCGUAACAAAAGCAGGAGAGGGAAAGUACAAGGCUAUGUUCCCAAAACACAAAUGACAUACCUUAUGUGGAGGAUGUGAUCAGGCUUGUGUUUGAUGAGGUAUGAAGAUAAGCUGAAGGAAACCCCGAUUCCAAUGGACCUGGCAUCACAGUUUGAGAGACCUUCAAAGGAGGACGUGAUUGCAUGCCAUCUUCAGUGCAGG
Paramisgurnus dabryanus is the source of this 756-nucleotide long non-coding RNA. RefSeq lists it as uncharacterized. The record is from RefSeq and is a predicted model, not a curated record. Lineage: Eukaryota; Metazoa; Chordata; Actinopteri; Cypriniformes; Cobitidae.